UAGGGAAUCUUCCGCAAUGGGCGAAAGCCUGACGGAGCAACGCCGCGUGAGUGAUGAAGGUCUUCGGAUCGUAAAACUCUGUUACUAGGGAAGAACAAAUGUGUAAGUAACUAUGCACGUCUUGACGGUACCUAAUCAGAAAGCCACGGCUAACUACGUGCCAGCAGCCGCGGUAAUACGUAGGUGGCAAGCGUUAUCCGGAAUUAUUGGGCGUAAAGCGCGCGUAGGCGGUUUUUUAAGUCUGAUGUGAAAGCCCACGGCUCAACCGUGGAAGGUCAUUGGAAACUGGAAAACUUGAGGGCAGAAGAGGAAAGUGGAAUUCCAUGUGUAGCGGUGAAAUGCGCAGAGAUAUGGAGGAACACCAGUGGCGAAGGCGACUUUCUGGUCUGUAACUGACGCUGAUGUGCGAAAGCGUGGGGAGCAAACAGG
This 429-nucleotide ribosomal RNA is filed under the name Actinomycetes bacterium. RNAcentral describes it as "Actinobacteria bacterium partial 16S ribosomal RNA". It matches the Rfam family "Bacterial small subunit ribosomal RNA", at positions 355 to 776 of the family's 1533-position model. The record is from RNAcentral. Lineage: Bacteria; Bacillati; Actinomycetota; Actinomycetes.